This 563-nucleotide ribosomal RNA is filed under the name uncultured archaeon. RNAcentral's name for it is "bacterial SSU rRNA". It matches the Rfam family "Archaeal small subunit ribosomal RNA", at positions 1 to 526 of the family's 1478-position model. The record is from RNAcentral.
UUUAGUUGAUCCCGCCGGAGGCAAUCGCUAUCCUAUUCAGAUUAAGCCAUGCGAGCCGCGAGGUGAAGACUCGGCGAACUGCUCCGUAAUACGCAGUCAACCUUCCCUGUUCUGGGGGAUAACCUCGGGAAAAGUCAGUCUGUGAAUAUGGGAUGAUCCAUCGACUGACUCCCGAAACUGAGUCUAAUACCCCAUAGUCCUUCCGUGCUGGAAUGCUGGAAGGACAAAAGUCACGGCGGAACAGGAUGGGACUGUGGCUGAUUAGGCUGUUGUCGGUGUAACGAACCGACAAACCGUUGAUCAGUAGGGGCUAUGGAAGUAGGAGCCUCGAGAUGGACUCUGAGACAUGAGUCCAGGUUCUACGGAACGCAGCAGGCGCGAAACCUUUGCAAUGCGCGUAAGCGCGACAAGGUGAGUCGGAGUGCAGUUGUAUAAACAACUGCUUUUGCCCACUGAAAACGGGUGGGUGAAUAAGGACUGGGUAACACGAGUGCCAGGCGCCGCGGUCAUACUCGGAGUCCAAGUUGAUUGCCACUAUUAUUGGGUCUAAAGCGUCCGUAGCC